AUCAUGACACAUAUUUGCACAGCCACAGAUCCGACCGUCCCAAAGGCCUCCCUCAUGACGCCGGCAUAUGUUUUUGACUCGCCGGAAUAUGUGUAUCUCAUCAAGAACUCAACAGAAAUGUCAGCAAGCCAAGCAAUAACCACAAUCAAUACAAAAGCAGGAAUUACACCCAGCACCUUAAGGGUGGCAGGUAUGGACAUAAUUCCUGCACCUAUUAUGCUAGUCGAUACAUUGAACACUGCUCCAGACACCGAUGCUGCACGUUUCUCUGUCUCCUUAUGCUCCGG
This 287-nucleotide unclassified non-coding RNA is filed under the name Hevea brasiliensis (rubber tree). The record is from RNAcentral. Lineage: Eukaryota; Viridiplantae; Streptophyta; Magnoliopsida; Malpighiales; Euphorbiaceae.